CAACAACUCCACAUCCAGCCUACCCCAGGCGUAGACUCCGGCCUUCACUAUGAGGUCUCACCUUCCGCCUCUAUCCAAACCCACCUAUCCACAACCCGAUGACGACUCCGACCCAUUAACCCGACCGGCCGCCGCCUCCGUCCUCCCGACUGUCCGCAAGAAAGGAACCGGGGUUCGGCCCUGGCUCCUCCUUGACAAUACCGGCCAGGCCCAGGUUGUGGAG
RNAcentral lists this unclassified non-coding RNA (223 nucleotides) under Hevea brasiliensis (rubber tree). The record is from RNAcentral. Lineage: Eukaryota; Viridiplantae; Streptophyta; Magnoliopsida; Malpighiales; Euphorbiaceae.